CAUAGGUAGUAGCUUGGUUAAUGGAACCCACUGAAGUCGUAGCGAAAGUGAGUCUUCAUAGAGCAAUUGUCACUACUUAUGGACCCGAACUUGGUUGAUCUAUCUAUGACCAGGAUGAAGCUUGGGUGAAACUAAGUGGAGGUCCGAAUCGACUGAUGUUGAAAAAUCAACAGAUAAGUUAUGGUUGGGGGUGAAAUGCCACUCGAACCUAGAGCUAGCUGG
RNAcentral lists this non-coding RNA (222 nucleotides) under Gossypium arboreum. RNAcentral's name for it is "Bacterial large subunit ribosomal RNA". It matches the Rfam family "Bacterial large subunit ribosomal RNA", at positions 629 to 852 of the family's 2925-position model. The record is from Rfam by way of RNAcentral. Lineage: Eukaryota; Viridiplantae; Streptophyta; Magnoliopsida; Malvales; Malvaceae.